CAUGAGGCUGAGAAUUGUUGAGGGAGAAGACCCUGGGAUCACCUACUUCUUGGGAGAAGGCUCAACCUGAACUGACAUCAGGGUCCGUGGGGGAAGGUCCGACUGGUCUGAGCACAAGUUUCACUGGUUUUCAAGCUGCCUUCCUCACCUGGCCAGCUGAGCUGUCUGCGCUGGGCAGAGAGGGAAUGGCGGAGCAGGCAUCGGGGGGGAGUGCCAUGAAGGCUGAACUCUGGAGUUAGCUGAUCGUAGCACAGAGCACUUUGGCUGUCGACCUCUGCUGAAGCCGGGCUGAGAGGACUGCUGGCCACUCAGCCAGGCCACAAAGAUCUAGUUCAGAGCAUGCUGCGAGUCAGUUCACGUCUCGUCCUGCCUCCAGGGACUCUUCCUCCGUACCAGCAGGUCCUGUAAUGAGCUGACCCGUGAGAGAGGAUCCGGCCCCCUUCGCCAAGCUCCAGAAGUUGUUACGCUGUGUCCAGAGCCAUGGAGGAGCUGUCCAACGGAGAAUGCCUCCUGAAGAAGAAACAUGUCCUGUGUGUCGGAAAGAGCUCUGUCUCCUUGCUGGAAGCCCCAGCGUCCCUCGUGGCAGUGCCUGAUGCAGAAACAGCUUCACGGGAAAAUUUCAAUCUAACAUCAACAGGAG
Molecule: long non-coding RNA, 640 nt
Organism: Alligator sinensis (Chinese alligator)
Lineage: Eukaryota; Metazoa; Chordata; Crocodylia; Alligatoridae
Exons: 4
Source: RefSeq, a predicted model, not a curated record